CUGUUGCUUGCAACAGCGAAUUGUAGUCUCGAGAGGCGUUUUCCCGGCGGACCUUCCCUGUCUAAGUUGCUUGGAACAGCACAUCAGAGAGGGUGACAAUCCCGUUCACGACAGGGUGGGCUGCCAACGAUACGCCUUCCAUGAGUCGGGUUGCUUGGGAAUGCAGCCCAAAAUUGGUGGUAAACUCCAUCUAAAGCUAAAUAUUGGCACGAGACCGAUAGCGAACAAGUACCGUGAGGGAAAGAUGAAAAGAACUUUGAAAAGAGAGUUAAAUAGUGCGUGAAACCGUUAGAGGGGAAACGGAUGCAGUUAGCAAUGCCUCGGCGAGAUUCAGACAAUCGCUAGGCCAGACGUGCAGUGUGUGGAUCCGUAUGGACUGUCGCUGUACGGCCUGGUCUUGUGCUCGUCGCACUUCUGGUCGGGGCGCGUCAACAGCUGCUCUAUCCGGGCGAUAAGACAUCCGGGAAGGUAGGCAUGUGCCUUGUGCAUGUGUUGUUAUAGCCCGCGGUGAUUCCAGCUCGGACGGGGCAGAGGCGAACGGUGCAUGCUCUGUUACGACAGGGCUGGCGCCCUUCUCUUGGCUGGAUGUCGACUAUGACGGACUGCUUGCAGUGCGUCUGAACUGCUUUCGGUCAUUCGGGAGGUCUACGCACACUAUGCACCUUGGCUGUUGGCGAUCAUAUGGCUUCAUCUGACCCGUCUUGAAACACGGACCAAGGAGUCUAACAUGUGCGCGAGUCUUGGGGUGACUGAAACCCAAAGGCACAAUGAAAGUAAAAUGGUGAGAUCUUCGUUCCGGCGAGGCGCAUCAUCGACCGACCUAUUCUACUCUUAGAAAGGUUUGAGUAAGAGCGCAUCUGUUGGGACCCGAAAGAUGGUGAACUAUGCCUGAGUAGGGUGAAGCCAGAGGAAACUCUGGUGGAAGCUCGUAGCGAUUCUGACGUGCAAAUCGAUCGUCGAACUUGGGUAUAGGGGCGAAAGACUAAUCGAACCAUCUA
This 998-nucleotide ribosomal RNA is filed under the name Chrysaora chinensis. Its description in RNAcentral is "eukaryotic LSU rRNA". It matches the Rfam family "Eukaryotic large subunit ribosomal RNA", at positions 124 to 946 of the family's 3401-position model. Lineage: Eukaryota; Metazoa; Cnidaria; Scyphozoa; Semaeostomeae; Pelagiidae. The record is from RNAcentral.